Hippocampus zosterae (dwarf seahorse) is the source of this 482-nucleotide long non-coding RNA. RefSeq lists it as uncharacterized. The record is from RefSeq and is a predicted model, not a curated record. Lineage: Eukaryota; Metazoa; Chordata; Actinopteri; Syngnathiformes; Syngnathidae. The transcript has 2 exons.
GGGUGUGUCAUUGAUCUUCCAUGUUUUUGGGGGGGGGGGGGGUGUACAAAUGUUAAUUAUUCACAAAUAUGCUCUGCUUGUGGGAUUUUUUCCUUCAAUUUAGUCGUGUGUGUUUUGGACACAUUUCUAUGAAUUGAUAUAUUGUGAAAUGUGACUUGUGUUUUAUACACAUUAUAGUUUGUUAAUAUUAGGGACAAUUAAAGCAAUGUCUGUCUCAACAAGGGGACCAGUUUAUUCACAGUGAGCCCUUUCCAAUGCAUGCUUAUUGUAAUCAUAUAAUACUUGCCUAACCAAAUAGCUGCAGCAAAAUCAUCAGCGGCAAUCUCUCCACAGAUCCCCAUCAACAAAAGAUGUUGAGCAUACCACAUUAGUAAAACAUACUUUUACUUCCACUGCUCCGUAUCAAAUACCGGUAUAUCAGGUGAGUGACAUCGGAUGUUGUGGUCCCCUAACAUUCCUUAUGAAUAUACUCUGGGCUGUGA